Molecule: ribosomal RNA, 1734 nt
Filed under: Triticum aestivum (bread wheat)
Lineage: Eukaryota; Viridiplantae; Streptophyta; Magnoliopsida; Poales; Poaceae
Description: partial small subunit ribosomal RNA
Source: RNAcentral
AUGAUGUUUGGGAUUGAUCUCAACAUGAGUCCUCAACAAGAUGAUGCCUCAGAACCUGCAGAUCAACAGGAAGAACACAACAGUCAACAACGAUACAACAAUGAAGAACCAGUCAAUAAUGAAGCAACAGGGGAAGAAGCAAGUGGUGUAGAGGAACCAAUUCAUGAAGAAGCAAGUGGUGUAGAGGAAACAAUUCAUGAGGAAGCAAGUGCUGUACAGAAACCAAUUCAUGGGGAAGGCAGAGAACUCACAAAUGAGGAGAGAUAUGGUAUUUAUUUUGGACUCACGGUGAUCAAGACCCAAAAUGGACAAGUUCUGAAAAAAUACAAGGAGGUCAUUGCUAGCCUACUCGAUACAACCGUAAGAACUGUUGAGAGAAUAUGGGAAAGAGCUCUUAAACGGAUUGAACAAGGGGAGAAAGUUGAUGUCUCAAAUCAAAAGCCAGGCAGAGUUGGCCGCAAGCGGAAAGAUUUGGAUCUGUCGAGGGUGGUGACAAUCCCAUUGAACAGAAGGAGAACAUUGCGAGGUCUGUUAAAGGCAUUGGGCGUAAGCUGCACAACCUUACACUCAAGGUUCGAGUGGGGUCAUUUGAGGCAUCACAGUAAUAAGGUGAGGCCCCACUUAAACAUAUCCAACAUUGUAAAGAGAUUGAAAUGGUGCUUGGCUAUGUGUGAAGAUUAUUGGUCUGCGACACGGGAAUUAGACAACAUAGCCUAUAUGGACGAAAAGUGGUUCAACAUGAUUGGGGAGGUGAACAACUACUAUUUGUUUCCCGAAGAACCCGACCCCUUACGCACCUUGCAUCAUAAGGAUAGCAUCGCCAAGGUUAUGUUUCUCGCUGCCGUGGCUAAACCAAGAUACGGCGAAGGUGGUAAGGUCACGUUUGAUGGAAAGCUCGGCAUUUGGGCUUUUGUCACAGAGUCUCCUGCUCAAAGAACAAGUGAAAAUAGAGAUAAAGGGACGCUCGAGCUCAAAUCAUUGAAAUUCACACCAGAUGUAAUGAGGUAUUACAUGUGUGAGAAACUUAUUCCUGCGAUCCAAGAGCGCUGGUUGGACGAAGAUGAAGGACGGACAAUUUAUAUCCAACAAGAUAAUGCCACACCAUAUAUUCUUCCCGAUGACCCGGUUUUCCGACAAGUCGUAGAACAGACUGAUUUGGAUAUUAAGUUGCUUCAACAGCCUCCAAACAGUCCUGACAUGAACAUUCUUGAUCAAUGCAUAUUUAGGUCUCUCCAGACCCACACCGAUAGCAGAGCACCUCAAAGCAUCAGGGAACUGAUAGAAGGUGUGGAGGAGGAAUAUCGAAAUUGCCUGGUUGAUAAGCUAGCUAGAAGCUUCGUGACGCUGCAGUCAUGCAUCCGAGAGGUAAUGAGAAACAAAGGAGCGAUAAACUACUCGAUCCCUCACAUGAGAAAGGAACGCCGUCAGGCAGAAGGAUGGCUUCCUAUAACUCUAUCUAUCGAUCGUGAGCUAGUUGAACAGACCAUAGCCUUUAUAGAAGAGGCAAAAGCAAUCUUAGCAGCAGAAAAAGAGCAGAAGCAGCAAGAAAAGAGCCGCAGCAGCCUCCAGGAAGCAGAAACACCCUUUGAAUACCAGCAGCCUCCAAGCAGCAGGAAAAAAGAAUCACGAGCCUUCAAGCAGCAGGAAAAGAGUACCAACAGUCUCCAAGAAGCAGGAAAGGAGCAGCAACAGCCUUCAAGCAACAGGAAAAGAGCACGAGCAGCCUCCGAGUAG